RNAcentral lists this transfer RNA (73 nucleotides) under Pteropus alecto (black flying fox). It matches the Rfam family "tRNA". Rfam says of the family: Transfer RNA (tRNA) molecules are approximately 80 nucleotides in length. Their secondary structure includes four short double-helical elements and three loops (D, anti-codon, and T loops). Lineage: Eukaryota; Metazoa; Chordata; Mammalia; Chiroptera; Pteropodidae. RNAcentral also lists the same sequence under 1 other name. The record is from Rfam by way of RNAcentral.
GGUUCCAUAGUGUAGAGGUUAACACAUCUGCUUUACACACAGAAGGUCCUGGGUUUGUGCCCCAGUGGAGCCA